This is a long non-coding RNA of Sarcophilus harrisii (Tasmanian devil), 4493 nucleotides long. NCBI's taxonomy places the organism in Eukaryota, Metazoa, Chordata, Mammalia, Dasyuromorphia, Dasyuridae. The record is from Ensembl.
UCCCAGCAGGUGGAGGACAAACUGUGGCGGGCGCUGGCUUGGACUUGCUUUGAGCUGGGACCCCCCGAGGCCUGCGAGCCCAGUCCUGGCUGCAGGGAGGAGCCCCGGGCCGUGCUGGUCCCCGCCCGGCACCUGCAGCGUUUGAGGAGGAAGCCGCGGGGUCCCCUCCGUGGAGCCCGAGGGAAGGUUGUGGAGAAGCAGCUGAAGAAGAGAGAGCGGGAGAGGCGGCGGCGGGGGUCUCGGGGGGCCCUGGCGCUCUACGACCGCUGCCGAGAGAUGGUCUCCGCCUGGCGCUGGGCGCCCCGGUGAUGGAGGAGGCGGCGGCCGGGCCGGGCCGGGUGUGCGGGUCCCGCUCCUGAGUCCCACCGGCACCGGACGCCCCGGGCCCUCGGGGCCAGCCCGGGCCUCGGCCUGCCGGCAGCGUCUGCCUCCCGCUCGCCGCCCCGGAACCCAGGGCCCCGCUCCCCUGCAGGCCAGCCCGUGACUGCCGGGGCAGAAGGCCGCGGUCACUGCCGCGCUGGGGGGGUGGGAGCGAGCCCUGGGCGGCGGCGGAGGCCCGAGCUCAGUCCCGGCCCCUCAGACUCCGCGCCCCGUCGGGGCGAGUCCCCCCGCUGGGAGCAGCGGGAGGGAGGGAGCCGACAGUCUGGGUCCCAGGCCCUGCCCGAUACCGGCCUGUUUCUCCAUCUCCAAAAUGUGGGGGCUGGGCCAGGGGGGCCCGGGCUCCUCCUCUCUUGUGAGAACCCCAUAAUCUGAGCCCAGGCAGGCGGCAGCCCCCCCUCCAAAAGUCGCCUCAACGUCCAUGCUCGGCCUCGAUGCCCGGCCCAUCCUGCGGCCUGGCUCCUUCCGCUUAGCCCGGGGGCCUUGCUCUGCCCUCGGGACCAGCUUAUUUACAGCCCGGGGAAGGGGGCAGAUAACCGCGGCCGUCCUGUUGGAUGUUGGACGAUGUUGGAAUAUCGCACAGUGGAGAGCUGGCCACGGCCCGGGCGGGCACCGCCGUCCCACCCAGGAUGCAACGAGAAAGGUCACUUGUCACCCAGCUCUGAGCCCCCGGGGUGAGCGGCUUCCGGCCUCCCUGUGCCCACAGCCGCGGCAGCAUCGCCCUGUCCCCGCAUCCUUGGUCCAGGAGGCGCUGCCCUGAGUCCAACUGAGGCUGUGGCUACCGGGGACAGGAGGGCAUCUCCUUCCCCAGGGCGAAGCCGCGGAGGACAUCUGGGGCCUGUCUCCGGGCCAAAAGCAAGGCCAGAGGGAGGACCCGGGGCUGCUGGUUUCUACAGGCAGACAUGGGAGCUGGUCUUGGCUCGGAGCUGGACCCCCCUCCCCCCCAUGUAGAUGCGUUCAUAGAUAGGGGACAUUGAUCCGUCCCAGCUGUGGGACCUUAGGUUCCCAUUCUGAGCCUCAGUUACCUCAUCUAAAAAUGGAGCUAGACCUGAUCAAAUAGAAGUUCUUCCUAGCCCAGACUUCCCCUGUUCUAAGCUCCUCCCAGCUCUGAUAUUCCUUGUUCCAAGUUUUCUUCUGACUCUUGACAUUCCCUGAUAUUCUCUGUUCUAAGACAUCCCCUGUUCUAAGGCUCCUCCCAGUUCUGACAUCCAUGGUGCUCCCCAUUUCUCUCCCUUUCCUCCCUCCUCCCCAAGGCAGCCAGCAAUCUGAUGCAGGUUAGACAUGGGCCAGUCUUCUAAGCGUGUUUCCUAUUUGUCGCGCUGCACAAGAAAAAUCAGAUCGAAACGGGAAAAUGAGAAAGGAAAAACCCCGAGCAGACAAGUGACAGCAAAAACCAACCAAACAAGCAAAAAUCCUGAGACGUGACAGCAAAAAACCCAAGACAAGUGACAGCAAACCCCCCCGAGACAAGUGACAGUAAAAAGGGGAAAAUCCGACGCUUGGAUCUCACUCAUUCCCAGUCUCUCCCUGGGUGCAGGUGGAUCUCCACCCCAAGUCUAAUGGAACUGCCUUGAAUCCCCUCAUUGUUGAAAAGAGCCACGUCCAUCACAGUUGAUCAUCACAUAAUCUUGUCACUAUGUACAGUGACCUCCUGGUCCUGCUCCUUUCCCUCGGCAUCAGUUCCUGUCAGUCCCUUCAGGCCUCUUUGCAAUCCUCCUGCUGAUCCUUUCUUACCGACCAAUAAUAUUCCAUAAUGUUCAUAUAUCACAAUUUCUUCAGCCACUCCCCACUGAUGGGCGUCCCCUCAGUUCCCAGUUUCUGGCCACUACAAAAAGCUGCCACAAACAUUUUCGCACAUGGGGGUCCCCCUCCCUCCUUUAAGUUCUCUCUGGGAUGUAAGCCCAGGAGAGACCCUGCUGGAUCUAAGGGGAUGCACAGUGCGCCUUUGGGUGUGGCUCCAAAUUGGUCUCCAGAACUGACAUCCCCUUUCUAAGACUCCUUCCUAACUCUGAUAUUCCUUGUUCUAAAGCCCCUCCCAGCCCUGACACUCCCCCUGUUCUGUACCUCCAGCUGUGUCUGUUCUGUGACCCUUCUGUACUUGGGAAGGCUUCCCCCUCUCCCUCCCCCUGCUGUCCAUGACCAAUAGUGCAUCCUCCUCCCUCUUGCUCCACAGAAGGCUCUGAGAAGGGGGGAAGGGCAGCCCCCAGCCUCAGUGGUUGUGGACAGACCUUCCCUCGUCCCCAGCCACAGUCCCCGAAGAAGAGUGGGGGCUCCCAGAGGAGCAGAGUGGGGGCUUCCAGAGCUGCCAGGGAAGAGAAUCCAAGACAUAGCUCCCCUUCUGUUCUUGCCUUUGGGCCCUGGGCCCCCUGCUUCCUGAAGAGUGGUACAAUGGACAGCGCCCAUGGCCCAGUCCUGGAUGGCUGACUUGGGAGCAGCCUUUCUUUCUCUGACCUUCAGUUCUCUUCUCUGUGGAGGGAGGGGGUGGGCCUUGGUCUCCAGCCCCUCCCAGCCCUGAGCACUGUUCACCCAGCCUCGUUCGGAGGUCUCUGGUGACGGGGAGCUCACCACCCCCACACCCGCCCAUUCCAUUGUGAGCUGGCUCUAAUUGCCGGGAAGUCUUGGGUCUUUGGGGCUGCCUUGUAAUUUCUGGCAGCUCUAACCUCGGGACAAGCAGAAGGGGGCCCAGCCUCCCUCCCGUGACAGCCUCCAGAGGAAGGAGUAAUUGUCUUUGAGAAACCUUGGACUUCCUUGGAGAAUUAGUCACCAUUCCGUGCCCCUGUGGGGAAGCUUCUGCCAGGCUCCCGUGUUGCCGGGCUUGGUCCCAGCCUCCCCUGCUCGGGCUAAGGGGGUGAUCUGUGCCCAGACUCUCCCCACAGAAGGGAAGGUGCGGUUUAGCAGGAAUGCCCAGGUUCGGUCUUGGUAUCCUCCCCUGCCUGGAACCCCAUCCUCCCCCAUCUUUCCUAACUUCUCGAUGACACUUCCAGACUGCGGCCCCAAAACAUAGGUCAUGAGGAGUUUGCCCGGGUCCGAGUUUCUCGGGGCAUCUUGCGGGACUGCCGGACAGACCCACGUUCCCAGGGGCCUGCUUUGGUACCAGGUCAAGUGCCAGGAUGACCCCUCUCUGGGACCGGGUUCCAUGAAUUUAUUCAGAUUGAUUUCAUUCCCAUGUCACAAGGCAACAGGCAAGCGCCUUUGUUGUUGUUUCAUCCAGUGGGGAAGCCCCGAUUUCUCAAUCACUAGUCACUGCCCCAUUGCUUCUUUCACCUCCCACCUCUGGGCCUUUGCCCUGGCUGUGCCUCCCGCCUCACUCUCUGCCCAAGAACCACCUUCAGCACGAGCCCUUUGCUGCUCCUUCAAGAGGCUUCCACCAAAUCACCCAAAUUCAUCUUGUCUUAGAUGCGAACGUGUUGUUCCUCCCUUCAAACGGGAGCUUGGAGAGUUUCAUGUUUUACUUCAGCUCCAGUGUCUGGCACACGGCAGGUGCUGAUCAGUGCUUGCUGAUCGACCCCCUAGUUAUCACCCUUCCCCCUCACACUCCUCUGCAUUUACUCCUCUGUGCCCAUGGAGGUGUUGUCCCAGGGAAUGGGACAAUAUGUACCCCUGGAGCAACCGUUCUUCAUUUUUAUGGUGAAUUAAUGCCCUUUAUUUCAACCUGGCCUCUGACCCAGACUACCGGGGCCAUCCCACAAGUUACCCAACAUCUCAGCCCCAGACGAGAGCCAGGGCUUCCCAGUGGGCAUCUAGCCCCAGCACAGGCACCUCACGGGGAUACAGGAAGAACAGAUUAUUAGAAGCGUCCAAACCCUGGGGGAAAUCAUCUGAGAAGGACCCUGAAGUCCUUGGAAGCCCUCUGCAGUUAAUUGAACCCUAAGGCCCAGCACAACAAUGUUCUUUCCAUGGGUCUGGAGUCAGGAACGACCGAAGUUUGAGUCCAAUCUCUCUCUCACUAGCCGUGUGAUUCUGGGUAAGUCAUUUCUUAACCUGCCUGCCUUAGUUUCCUCAUCUGUAAAAUGGGGCUAAUCUCUACCUCAUAGGGUUGUUGCAGGGAUCAAAUGAGAUAUUUGUAAAGCCCCGAGCACACGUUGCUGGUGUUUAAUAAAUGCUCAUUUCCUUUC